RNAcentral lists this unclassified non-coding RNA (225 nucleotides) under rhizosphere metagenome. RNAcentral describes it as "partial ribosomal RNA internal transcribed spacer region". The record is from RNAcentral.
GUAGGUGAACCUGCGGAAGGAUCAUUACCUUUCAAUGCAGCAGAAUUGGGAUGGUUGAGUAUCUCGCCUUCCAAUUCUGCCUGUAUUCCACCCUUGUUUGUCAUACUAUUAUUUCCUCGGCAGGCUUGCCUGCCGAGUGAAACCAAUUAUAACCUAUUUAAUUUUCAAUCAGCGUCUGAAAAAAAUUAAUAAUUACAACUUUCAACAACGGAUCUCUUGGUUCUG